Papaver somniferum (opium poppy) is the source of this 2167-nucleotide long non-coding RNA. RefSeq lists it as uncharacterized. NCBI's taxonomy places the organism in Eukaryota, Viridiplantae, Streptophyta, Magnoliopsida, Ranunculales, Papaveraceae. The transcript is spliced from 3 exons. The record is from RefSeq and is a predicted model, not a curated record.
CGUAUGGAUUUCCCUUAUAAUAUUCUUGGGUUCCUUUAACAUUUUGAUCGUCCUUAUCUUCAAAACCAAUCGAGAAGAAUUCAUUUCUCUCUUUUCUUUGUUUUCUCGUUUCUUCUUCUUUCUUCCUCUUCUUCCCUGUUGUUUCGUGCUCGUUCUUCUGUGAGAAGAUUUUUAGUUUUGAGAUCGGAAAACUUAAGAAAAACACUAAGGUUUGGCUGUUGGUGCUCGGGUUGUUUUGGUUUGGCAAGGAAAGCAGAAGAAAUGGUAGAUUGGUUAGAAUCUGGAGUUAGGGUUCUGAUAUUUGGAUUUAACUGAAGUUUAUAUAAAUUGAAAAUGAAGGCAAGUAAUUCAUGGUUGGGUUUAAUGAAUUAAAGGUUUAUAUCGAUGUUUUGAUAUCGAACUGUAGAAGAGAAGUUUGGGAAAGAAAUUAAGGUUUCUGCAUGUUGUUUUGGAAUUCGAAUUGGUCAAAGAUUGAGAUGAUUUAGAUAGAAUUGUAAGAUGGGUUUGUAUAAUUGAAGCUUCUGAAGUUGUUGAGGAUAAAAUCAGAGAGUUAGGGUUUAUGUUCUUCAUCAAAUUAAGAACUAGGGAUUCAAGAGAAGAAUUAAGAUAAUAUUAGAAGGUGGAAUUAAUGUUCUAGGAAAGGAAAUAGAUGAUGCGUAAGCUUAAUUGGAAGUUAUGAGGAAACCGAUAUGAAGAAGAACAAGAAUUGAAAGAUGAUACUGGGAACUAAGGUUAGGGUUUCAUAAGAAGAAACUUGGUGAAGAAAUUCAGAAGAUGUAAAACCUUUUCUCAGUAAGAAUUGAAGAAUUGAUUCAAACAAGAAGAUGAGCUGGUGUCAAUUUGCUGGAAUGGAACUAUUUAAGGUAAAUGUUUCUCUAAGUAAGUUUGUAUAGCCUUCAGUUCAUUGUUGAGUAUAUAUGUUGGAUUAUAAAGAUAAGAAGAGUUGGAAUUAGCUGUGAUUGUAGUUAAUAUAUGUAGGGAGUAUGGCUUUGAUAAGAAUUGAAUGAACUGAAUUCCGGAAGAAAGGAUUGACUAAUCAGUUGUGCGUUGUUCAAGAUGAGAUGUUGAUAAUGAAACGUGUUUAGAACUGGAGAUGAAUUGAUGUUGCAGAUGGAGUCGAGUUCCAAAGUGGUGUUCUGUAGCUACAGAUGUUGUUUCAUGAAAUUGAGAUAUUUCUGAUGUAAUGUUGGUGGUGGUGUGGUCUUGAAUCUGGGUUGAGAGAAUAAAAUCGUAUUGGUUUUGGUGAUUGGUGGUGAUUGCAGGUGAAGUUUGACUUCUUUUGGCUCCAUGUAUUAAUAAAUGGAAAUGGUGGUGAAACUGAGGUGGUGAUUCUAAGAUUUGGAAUUCAUGAUAUUGGUGUUAUUGAACUUAUAGAUUGUGCAGACAGGGACUGAAUUUGGCAUGUUGGUUUCAUUUAGAAUGUAUAAGUGUUGUAGAUACUGCUGAUAAACAGAAUUGAGAAGUUACAAUUGGGGAAUGACUAGUGGCUCGAGAAACGUGAAUUGAAUCUAGUAUUGGAAUUGUGAUGGUAGUGUUGUUGUUCAAGAAGAACUGAAAUACGAAUUCAGUUGAAAUAUGCUAUGUUAUGUUUAGAACUCUUAAAUUUUGUGUGUGCUAACGAGAUGUUUAGGCCAAGUUGGUUGCAAUGCUGUUAUGGAAAAAGUCUUAGUGAAAGCCUGCAAGUGCAGAUCAAGUUAGUCUAUAUUAACAACGAUCGAUUCAAAGGAUGAACCAGUGGAUCGUGGAUCUCGAGGUAGGCGUGGCUUGUCAUCAAAAGAGUUUCAGAGACAGGUCAGAGUUGCGCAGCGGAAGCUUCGAUGAGUCGAGUCCGUAGUUGGCUAACUUCUGCUAUGUUUUUUAUGUUAUAUUUUCUAUUUGUAAACCAAAUGACUAUUAUAUAUGUAUCAUUUGAGAGAAGUUCUUGUAUAUAUAUUUCUGAGUGGGGCUAGUUUUGGGUUAAGUUCUGUAGCAGAUAUCUUAAUGGAAUGUUUAAGUAUUUGAAUUAGAUUCGUAGUGCCUCUUUAUUUAGUUAAUCUCUUGAAUCAGUCAGCUGCUAGAUUGGGGGGCGCUACAGUGUUGGUAUCAGAUCUCUUUAUUAGAUCUUAUAUGGGAAAAGAUAGAAAUAGCCAGUGUCAGUUAGUGAACUAGAUUAGUUUAGAACUGGGUU